Anolis carolinensis (green anole) is the source of this 4516-nucleotide long non-coding RNA. RefSeq lists it as uncharacterized. NCBI's taxonomy places the organism in Eukaryota, Metazoa, Chordata, Lepidosauria, Squamata, Anolidae. The transcript is spliced from 2 exons. The record is from RefSeq and is a predicted model, not a curated record.
CCGCCCCGCCUCGCCUAUCAGUUUGUGCUGUUGGCUUUUCAGUUAUCCUUUAUUCAGAGCUCUGACUUGUCAGGCAGAAACGACACCCUCUAGUUCAGGGGUUCUUGUGUGGCCACACUCCCGCGUGAAGCUGGAAAAGCGUCCUCAGCAGGCCAACUCUUCUCCAGCAUUAUAUUUCAGGAGCAACUUGAGAAACUGCAAAUCGCUUCUGGUGUGAGAAUUGGCUGUCUGCAAGCAUGUUGCCCAGGGGAUGCCUGGAUAUUUUUACCAUCUUUGUGGGAGGCUUCUCUCAUGUCCCCGCAUGGAGCUGGAGCUGAUAGAAGGAGUUCAUCCAUGGUCUCCCUGAGUUGGAUUUGAACUCUGGCAGCCUACAGGUCAGCAACCCAACCUUCAAGUCACAAGGUUUUAAUCCACUAUGCCAUGGGGGGCUCCAACACAUUAUAAAGAGGCAAAACAUUGUAUUGAGGAGACUUGAGAAGGUUGCUAUCUCCAACAUUAUGACCCCACUUGAGCUGCAAUGGCUCAGUGCUAUGGAAUCCUGAGAGCUGUAGUUUUACAAGAUUUUAGCCUUUUCUGCCGAAGACAGUGGGAAGAGACACCAAGGGCCAUCCAGCCAACCCCAUUAUGCCAUGCAGAAAAACAAUCCAAGCACCCCUGACACACGGCCAUCCAGCCUCUGCUUAAAAACCUCCAGAGGAAUCUCCGCCAUGCUCAGAGGAAGCAUAUUCCACUCCCAAACAGUUCUUACUGUGUUAUUCCUAAUGUUUAGGUGGAAUCACUUUUCCAUUAGGAAUUCAUUGCUCUAGUCUCCAGAGGAGCAAAACACAAGCUUGCUGCCUCCUCAAUGUGACAUCCUUUCAAAUAUUUAAACAUGGCUCUCAUGACCCCUUCUCUCAGCCUUCUCCAAGCUAAUCAUCCGCAGCUCCCUCAGCCACUCCUCAUAGGGCUUGGCUUCCAAACCUUUGAUCAUUUUGGGCCGCCCUUUUUUUGCAAAUAGCAUGGUGUCCUCUGCGUGUCACAAAUGUUCCUUUCUCCAACUCUAUGUUCAGUGUACAGGUUUAAAAGAGUGAUAAAAUGUAGCCUUGUAUUUAUUUAUUUACUACAUUUAUAUCCCGCUCUUCUCACCCCGGAGGGGACUCAGAGCGGCUUACAAAUCAAAUGUACAUACAAUAUAUUAUUAGCAUAGCACAAUAUAAGCAUUAAAUUACUAUAUUGUACUAUCAUUAUAUGGUAAUAUUAUUAGUAAUAUUACAUUUAAUAUAUAAUAUAUAAUUAUUAUAUCAUAUUAUUAGUAUAUUGUAUAACAUUAUAUUAUCAAUAUUAUAAUUAUAUACAAUAUAUUAUAUAUUUAUAAAUUAUUGUGUGUGUGUAUAUAUAUAUAUGUAUCUAUAUAUAUAAAAGGGUGAUGGAAUCGCGGCACCGAGCAAAACAACAAAAGUAAAGGCCCCCCAACCUCGAAAUUUGACAACACAACCCAUCAUCCACGCCUUAAGGUUGAAACAACACAAAAUCACUUCACGCACCUCCACAUGGACAGAACCCACAACGCACCAUCGGGAGCCAUGCCGGGAGGGAGGGAAAGAGAAAGCAUAAUGGCAAGAGAGAAGGCAGGCAAUGGGAAAAAGCUGUCCCCUGGGUCCUAGCGCCCGCCCAUCAUCCGAACUGUAAUUAUCAAGGCUUAAAGGUGGACUAAAAUCAAAACAUAACAAGUAGUCUCCACUAUUUAAACAAUUUCUGAAGACUCCAAUUGGAUUUGGCAACCCUUACAGUUUCCUUUAAACAUUACAGUCUGGAAGAUACUACUGUAAAUUACAACAGUUGACUGUACUUAUUAUUUUCAUUAUUGUUUUUAACUCUCAGGUAAUAAUGUUUGCACAUGAUGCUCUAAAUAACAGAAUGCAUUUUAUGUUUUGAAUCUUCAUAGUAUUUACUUAUCUUUUUCACAUAGAAAGAAGAUAGCUCUAUACUCAGAGAGGCCUCACUAUUUCUGUGGCCCUUACAUGUCAUAUCUCUUUUUAUGUUUUGAACCUUUCGAGUGUUUGCUUAUCUCUUCGACAAACUCCUGACAGAUGGCCAGCCAAUAUCUCCACAAUCUCCACAAUAAAAAUAAUAAUAGAAUCCUACAGUCACAGAGAUGGGAGAGACCCCUAAAGGCCAUCCAGUCCAACCCCUUCCUGCCAUGGAGAACACAAUCCAAACAUUCCCAACAGAUGGCCAUACAGCCUCUUGAUAAUAAUAAUACUAAUAACAGUAUCAUGGAAUCCUAAUGUUUGCAGACACCCCUAAGAAUCAUCCAGUACAACCUCCUUCUACCAUGCAAGACCACACAAUCCAAACACUCCUGACAGGUGGCCAUCCAAUAUCUCCACAAUCUCCACCAUAAAAUUUAUAAUAAAAUCCUACAGUCACAGAGAUAGGACAGACCCCAAAAGCCCAUCCAGUCCAACCCCUUCCUGCCAUCGAGAACACAAUCCAAACAUUCCCAACAGAUGGCCAUACAGCCUCUUGAGAAUAAUAAUACUAAUAACAAUAUCAUGGAAUCCUAAUGUUUGCAGACACCCCUAAGAAUCAUCCAGUACAACCUCCUUCUACCAUGCAAGACCACACAAUCCAAACACUCCUGACAGAUGGCCAUCCACCCAAUAUAUAAUAAUAAUGAUGAUAAUAAAGAUAAUAAUCAUGAUGAUAACAGCAACAAUAAUAAUAAUCAUCAUCAUAGAACUAUACCAUCCAAUAAUUUGGAGACACCCCUAACGGCCAUCCACCCCAACCCUUUCUACUAUGCACCAAGACACAAUCUAACCAUUCACAACACUUGGACAACGUAUGCAUACUAUACAAUACUACACAGCGACAAAGACCCCCUCUACUCUCACCACUUUCACAUUACACAAACAACCAAAUACAUACUAAACAUAAAGACAACCUACAACGGACAUUCAAUACUACCACUAACUCAACAAUUUCUCACCAACACCAGACAACGCCACAGCAACGCGUGGCCGGGCACAGCACACACUGUAUGUAUGUAAAAUUAGUAUAGCAUGUUGCUAUGGCACAGGAGACGAGAUGGAACCAUUUUCCUGACUCUCAGAUUGGUAUGUCUUCCUGGCUGCCCGGUUCUUCACUCUGGUCCCAGAGGGGCAGUUAUUCCUUGGUGGGAGGGGCUGCCAACUGAUGGAACAGGAGACAGGAUGGUAUGAACCCGCUUGCCAAUUGAAAACCAUUUAUUUUUCCAUAUUCUGUCCUAAUGAUAGCCUCCUGCCAUAACUAAAGAUUACACAUCACAGCAAUGAAAUGCUUGGGUUUAAGAGCACAUGCAUAAUUGCCUAGAGAACAGUCAGUGUGAAAACAGGCAUCAUUGGACUCCUUCCAGAAUGGCUUGAAAAAUACAAUAUAGACAGGUGACACACCACCAAUCUAUCUAUGGCCAUUUGAGAUUAAACCCUUUGAUGGAGUCAUAAUUGUUUUAUCAAUUGUGAGAAGCUCCAGUUCUAAUACAAGUGAGAUAGUUAACCUGAACGUUAUUUAGGGGUCACUUUUGACUUCUUAGUAACUCUGAAUCUAUCUAAUAAUAAUAAUAAUACUUCUUAUAUCCCGCCCCAUCUCCCCGAAGGGACUCGGGGCAGCUUACAACAGGGACAAACCCGAAACAACAUAGCAAAAACAUGACAUACACAAAAUACAACAGCAAAAUUAAAACAUUUCAACAGUAAACAAAAUAACAUAGUAACAAUACUUAAAAUCUGAGCACAUAAAAUCAGAGUGAAUAAAGGAGGAACGCGGGGACAUGUUCCAUUAAAGUGCUGUAUCAUAUGGAAUAAGGAACGGAGAUAAAGUGCCAUACAAUUCUGUAAACAUAGAAAAAUAGUCUGAUGACAAAUCUGAAGGGCCUGUUCAUUCAAACGCGCUCCGGAACAACCAUGUUUUCAAUUCCCGGCGGAAGAUGGGCAACGAAUUAACCUAGUGAUGUACAUUAUGACAAAAUAGGAUAAGCUUGUAUUAUUACCACUUCUAUUAUUGUUAGAAGCCGGUAUCAUUGAGCUGCUGUACACAGAUUCUCUUGAAUUGUAACUCCCAGCGUUAGCUCUGCUGGAAAUAACAGUUCAACAAUGAUCUUUUUAGACCUCAUAAAUCAAACCACAAUGGAAAGUUCCUCCCCAGAGCUUCUGUUCAUCUCACUUAUCCUCACAGUUCAUAUUCAUUUCACUUUGUACGCCAGCUCGCGUAAGAACUGGGAAUAGUGGGAAAAUGUGUAAUUCUAAGUAAUCUCUGUGUACGAUGUUUGCAUGCGUUGCUGAAAACCACAGUAUGGUAUCUUUGGUGCUGGAUAUUCUCCACACCCUCUAUUGGAAAAUUGAUAUUUCAAACAAUCUGCUAUUUAACUGUACUAUUAAUGAAAAAUCAAUUAAAAAUGAUAAGGAACAUUCUGAAGUAUAAAAAAGGAUUUUAUUAAUGUAUAUGUACAAAUUUACAAAGCCAGAAACAGGAGAAAUAUAAACUGCAUUCAACCAUA